This 469-nucleotide ribosomal RNA is filed under the name uncultured beta proteobacterium. Its description in RNAcentral is "bacterial SSU rRNA". It matches the Rfam family "Bacterial small subunit ribosomal RNA", at positions 185 to 649 of the family's 1533-position model. The record is from RNAcentral. Lineage: Bacteria; Pseudomonadati; Pseudomonadota; Betaproteobacteria.
GGAGAACGCUGGGGAUCGAAAGACCUUGUGCUUUUAGAGCGGCCGACGCCUGAUUAGCUAGUUGGUAAGGUAAAGGCUUACCAAGGCAACGAUCAGUAGCUAGUCUGAGAGGACGACCACCCACACUGGGACUGAGACACGGCCCAGACUCCUACGGGAGGCAGCAGUGGGGAAUUUUGGACAAUGGGCGCAAGCCUGAUCCAGCCAUGCCGCGUGAGUGAAGAAGGCCUUCGGGUUGUAAAGCUCUUUCGGUCGGGAAGAAAUAGUUAUGGCUAAUAUCCAUAUCGAAUGACGGUACCGACAUAAGAAGCACCGGCUAACUACGUGCCAGCAGCCGCGGUAAUACGUAGGGUGCAAGCGUUAAUCGGAAUUAUUGGGCGUAAAGGGUGCGCAGGCGGAUGUAUAAGUCAGAUGUGAAAUCCCUGGGCUUAACCUGGGAAUUGCGUUUGAAACUACAAAGCUAGAAGGG